UGGCUUGGAUCUUUCUGCAAACA
RNAcentral lists this microRNA (23 nucleotides) under Strongyloides ratti. RNAcentral's name for it is "str-miR-7880b-1-5p". The record is from miRBase by way of RNAcentral. Lineage: Eukaryota; Metazoa; Nematoda; Chromadorea; Rhabditida; Strongyloididae.